CAUAAAAUCACACAAAUAUUAUGAAAGUUUGGGCUUUAAAUCAAAUCUUCAUCUGUAGAUGAUAGCUUUUGACUGUUUUGUUGGUAAUCUUUCAAUGGAUGAUUGGAAAUUGCUUAAUUUAUUUAACCUUAACUUUUACACUUUACUGUUUAUCGAUGACGUCACGUUAUCAAGGAGCGCGAAAAUUGGCAGAAAACUAAAGUUGUUUUGAUCUUUUAUGGUAAACAUAAAACUGUUCUGCGAUUUCAAGAGUGACAAAAUAAUCCUUCUACAACAGAAGGGAGUGUCCAAGAUUUCAAUAUUUCUGAAGGGAGCUGCUGACAGAGAUCUAGGAAGCGCUGAAAAGAUUCUUCAGUGCUGAUGGCCUGCUGCAUCCAGCAGAGUCGGAGUGAACCUACUGUAAGACAACAUCUCCAAGAUGCUAUUGACCACAAGACUAGUACAGGUUAUUAGAAACUGCACAGCACAGGACUUGCAGGACUUGUGAGGACUUCAGAUGAUACCAGUACUCAAAAGACCUUAGAUGAUGGCAACUAUAGAUGGACAUACAAACUACCGCCACUGCAAAAAAGAUUCUAAUUUGAAAGUUUAUAAUGCAUGUUCGCUACUCCCAAUUCAGAAGACUGAAUCAGCCUGUGUAUCUGAAUGUUUCUCAUACUCACUCCUCUCUGCUGCGUCUGAAUUUGGGAUUUUCCUUAGCUGUCAGUUAAAAACGUAAAAAUUAAAAGAAAUCAACAUUUGAAAUAUAUCAGUCUGUGUGUAAUGAAUAAAUAUAAUAUACAAGUUUCACUUUUUGAAUGGAAUUAGUGAAAUAAAUCAACUUUUUGAUGAUAUUCUAAUUAUAUGACCAGCACCUGUAUAUCAUUGCUCUUUUGUUAAUUUCGAUUGCUUCCAUUGUCCUCAUUUA
Carassius gibelio (silver crucian carp) is the source of this 907-nucleotide long non-coding RNA. RefSeq lists it as uncharacterized. Lineage: Eukaryota; Metazoa; Chordata; Actinopteri; Cypriniformes; Cyprinidae. The transcript is spliced from 4 exons. The record is from RefSeq and is a predicted model, not a curated record.